CUGGAAGUGAGGGAUCAGCACGGGACUGCUGCAGGGGAAGGAAACCGGGAAAUCACAAAGGAAAUGGCUGGGUCAGAUAAAAUCCCCAGGCCUCCCUCUUGUAAAACAGGACGUUUCUGGUUCAGGAACAGAUGGGAAGAGAAUCCACUCCAUGGCUAACCCAGAGGAGAUGAAGGCUUUACAUUUCACAUCAGGAAAGAACUGGUCAAGGUCUAGAGGGCUUGAGCCAAGUGAUGCACUAAAACCUACCGUCUUCCAGUCAUUACAUGAAAUAUCUGCAGCAGAUGUUGGCUGUUAAAGGGCGCAGACGACACAGUUCAUGACUUCUCGGAGGCGGCUGCGCGCCACAUCUGCAGUCGAUGAAGGCGAGCACAGAAGUGUGGCAGACAGAAAGAAAACGUCAACCCAGCCAAGCCAACCCUCUUCCGUGCUGGAGAUAAAAAUAGAGGGGGUGUUUGCCCUGCU
Pezoporus flaviventris is the source of this 465-nucleotide long non-coding RNA. RefSeq lists it as uncharacterized. The record is from RefSeq and is a predicted model, not a curated record. Lineage: Eukaryota; Metazoa; Chordata; Aves; Psittaciformes; Psittacidae. The transcript has 3 exons.